Molecule: ribosomal RNA, 497 nt
Filed under: uncultured bacterium
Lineage: Bacteria
Description: partial 16S ribosomal RNA
Rfam family: Bacterial small subunit ribosomal RNA
Source: RNAcentral
GAUGAACGCUGGCGGCGUGCCUAAUACAUGCAAGUCGAGCGAACAGACUAGGAGCUUGCUCCUCUGACGUUAGCGGCGGACGGGUGAGUAACACGUGGAUAACCUACCUUUAAGACUGGGAUAACUUCGGGAAACCGGAGCUAAUACCGGAUAAUAUCUUUAACCGCAUGGUUCAAUAGUGAAAGACGGUUUUGCUGUCACUUAUAGAUGUAUCCGCGCCGCAUUAGCUAGUUGGUAAGGUAACGGCUUACCAAGGCGACGAUGAGUAGCCGACCUGAGAGGGUGUUCGGCAACACUGGAACUGAGACACGGUCCAGACUCCUACGGGAGGAAGCAGUAGGGAAUCUUCCGAAAAGGGCGAAAGCCUGACGGAGAAACGCGGCGUGAGUGAGGAAGGUCUUCGGAUCUAAAAACUCUGUUAUUAGGGAAGAACAAAUGUGGAAGUAACUAUGCACGACUUGACGGUAACUAAUCAGAAAGCCACGGCUAACUACGUG